This 2923-nucleotide ribosomal RNA is filed under the name Escherichia coli 53638. RNAcentral describes it as "bacterial LSU rRNA". It matches the Rfam family "Bacterial large subunit ribosomal RNA". Lineage: Bacteria; Pseudomonadati; Pseudomonadota; Gammaproteobacteria; Enterobacterales; Enterobacteriaceae. The record is from RNAcentral.
GAAACAUCUUCGGGUUGUGAGGUUAAGCGACUAAGCGUACACGGUGGAUGCCCUGGCAGUCAGAGGCGAUGAAGGACGUGCUAAUCUGCGAUAAGCGUCGGUAAGGUGAUAUGAACCGUUAUAACCGGCGAUUUCCGAAUGGGGAAACCCAGUGUGUUUCGACACACUAUCAUUAACUGAAUCCAUAGGUUAAUGAGGCGAACCGGGGGAACUGAAACAUCUAAGUACCCCGAGGAAAAGAAAUCAACCGAGAUUCCCCCAGUAGCGGCGAGCGAACGGGGAGCAGCCCAGAGCCUGAAUCAGUGUGUGUGUUAGUGGAAGCGUCUGGAAAGGCGCGCGAUACAGGGUGACAGCCCCGUACACAAAAAUGCACAUGCUGUGAGCUCGAUGAGUAGGGCGGGACACGUGGUAUCCUGUCUGAAUAUGGGGGGACCAUCCUCCAAGGCUAAAUACUCCUGACUGACCGAUAGUGAACCAGUACCGUGAGGGAAAGGCGAAAAGAACCCCGGCGAGGGGAGUGAAAAAGAACCUGAAACCGUGUACGUACAAGCAGUGGGAGCACGCUUAGGCGUGUGACUGCGUACCUUUUGUAUAAUGGGUCAGCGACUUAUAUUCUGUAGCAAGGUUAACCGAAUAGGGGAGCCGAAGGGAAACCGAGUCUUAACUGGGCGUUAAGUUGCAGGGUAUAGACCCGAAACCCGGUGAUCUAGCCAUGGGCAGGUUGAAGGUUGGGUAACACUAACUGGAGGACCGAACCGACUAAUGUUGAAAAAUUAGCGGAUGACUUGUGGCUGGGGGUGAAAGGCCAAUCAAACCGGGAGAUAGCUGGUUCUCCCCGAAAGCUAUUUAGGUAGCGCCUCGUGAAUUCAUCUCCGGGGGUAGAGCACUGUUUCGGCAAGGGGGUCAUCCCGACUUACCAACCCGAUGCAAACUGCGAAUACCGGAGAAUGUUAUCACGGGAGACACACGGCGGGUGCUAACGUCCGUCGUGAAGAGGGAAACAACCCAGACCGCCAGCUAAGGUCCCAAAGUCAUGGUUAAGUGGGAAACGAUGUGGGAAGGCCCAGACAGCCAGGAUGUUGGCUUAGAAGCAGCCAUCAUUUAAAGAAAGCGUAAUAGCUCACUGGUCGAGUCGGCCUGCGCGGAAGAUGUAACGGGGCUAAACCAUGCACCGAAGCUGCGGCAGCGACACUAUGUGUUGUUGGGUAGGGGAGCGUUCUGUAAGCCUGUGAAGGUGUGCUGUGAGGCAUGCUGGAGGUAUCAGAAGUGCGAAUGCUGACAUAAGUAACGAUAAAGCGGGUGAAAAGCCCGCUCGCCGGAAGACCAAGGGUUCCUGUCCAACGUUAAUCGGGGCAGGGUGAGUCGACCCCUAAGGCGAGGCCGAAAGGCGUAGUCGAUGGGAAACAGGUUAAUAUUCCUGUACUUGGUGUUACUGCGAAGGGGGGACGGAGAAGGCUAUGUUGGCCGGGCGACGGUUGUCCCGGUUUAAGCGUGUAGGCUGGUUUUCCAGGCAAAUCCGGAAAAUCAAGGCUGAGGCGUGAUGACGAGGCACUACGGUGCUGAAGCAACAAAUGCCCUGCUUCCAGGAAAAGCCUCUAAGCAUCAGGUAACAUCAAAUCGUACCCCAAACCAACACAGGUGGUCAGGUAGAGAAUACCAAGGCGCUUGAGAGAACUCGGGUGAAGGAACUAGGCAAAAUGGUGCCGUAACUUCGGGAGAAGGCACGCUGAUAUGUAGGUGAAGCGACUUGCUCGUGGAGCUGAAAUCAGUCGAAGAUACCAGCUGGCUGCAACUGUUUAUUAAAAACACAGCACUGUGCAAACACGAAAGUGGACGUAUACGGUGUGACGCCUGCCCGGUGCCGGAAGGUUAAUUGAUGGGGUCAGCGCAAGCGAAGCUCUUGAUCGAAGCCCCGGUAAACGGCGGCCGUAACUAUAACGGUCCUAAGGUAGCGAAAUUCCUUGUCGGGUAAGUUCCGACCUGCACGAAUGGCGUAAUGAUGGCCAGGCUGUCUCCACCCGAGACUCAGUGAAAUUGAACUCGCUGUGAAGAUGCAGUGUACCCGCGGCAAGACGGAAAGACCCCGUGAACCUUUACUAUAGCUUGACACUGAACAUUGAGCCUUGAUGUGUAGGAUAGGUGGGAGGCUUUGAAGUGUGGACGCCAGUCUGCAUGGAGCCGACCUUGAAAUACCACCCUUUAAUGUUUGAUGUUCUAACGUUGACCCGUAAUCCGGGUUGCGGACAGUGUCUGGUGGGUAGUUUGACUGGGGCGGUCUCCUCCUAAAGAGUAACGGAGGAGCACGAAGGUUGGCUAAUCCUGGUCGGACAUCAGGAGGUUAGUGCAAUGGCAUAAGCCAGCUUGACUGCGAGCGUGACGGCGCGAGCAGGUGCGAAAGCAGGUCAUAGUGAUCCGGUGGUUCUGAAUGGAAGGGCCAUCGCUCAACGGAUAAAAGGUACUCCGGGGAUAACAGGCUGAUACCGCCCAAGAGUUCAUAUCGACGGCGGUGUUUGGCACCUCGAUGUCGGCUCAUCACAUCCUGGGGCUGAAGUAGGUCCCAAGGGUAUGGCUGUUCGCCAUUUAAAGUGGUACGCGAGCUGGGUUUAGAACGUCGUGAGACAGUUCGGUCCCUAUCUGCCGUGGGCGCUGGAGAACUGAGGGGGGCUGCUCCUAGUACGAGAGGACCGGAGUGGACGCAUCACUGGUGUUCGGGUUGUCAUGCCAAUGGCACUGCCCGGUAGCUAAAUGCGGAAGAGAUAAGUGCUGAAAGCAUCUAAGCACGAAACUUGCCCCGAGAUGAGUUCUCCCUGACUCCUUGAGAGUCCUGAAGGAACGUUGAAGACGACGACGUUGAUAGGCCGGGUGUGUAAGCGCAGCGAUGCGUUGAGCUAACCGGUACUAAUGAACCGUGAGGCUUAACCUU